RNAcentral lists this ribosomal RNA (492 nucleotides) under uncultured bacterium. RNAcentral's name for it is "partial 16S ribosomal RNA". It matches the Rfam family "Bacterial small subunit ribosomal RNA", at positions 29 to 507 of the family's 1533-position model. The record is from RNAcentral.
AGUGAACGCUGGCGGUAGGCCUAACACAUGCAAGUCGAACGGCAGCACAGUAAGAGCUUGCUCUUACGGGUGGCGAGUGGCGGACGGGUGAGGAAUACAUCGGAAUCUACUUUUUCGUGGGGGAUAACGUAGGGAAACUUACGCUAAUACCGCAUACGACCUACGGGGGAAAGCAGGGGAUCUUCGGACCUUGCGCGAUUGAAUGAGCCGAUGUCGGAUUAGCUAGUUGGGGGGGUAAAGGCCCACCAAGGCGACGAUCCGUGGCUGGUGUGAGAGGAUGGUCGGCCACACUGGAACUGAGACACGGUCCAGACUCCUACGGGAGGCAGCAGUGGGGAAUAUUGGGCAAUGGGCGCAAGCCUGAUCCAGCCAUACCGCGUGGGUGAAGAAGGCCUUCGGUUUGUAAAGCCCUUUUGUUGGGAAAGAAAAGCAGCAGGUUAAUACCCCGCUGUUCUGACGGUACCCAAAGAAUAAGCACCGGCUAACUUCGUG